This 574-nucleotide ribosomal RNA is filed under the name Aureobasidium sp. RNAcentral's name for it is "eukaryotic LSU rRNA". The stretch from base 224 to 377 matches the Rfam family "5.8S ribosomal RNA". The record is from RNAcentral. Lineage: Eukaryota; Fungi; Ascomycota; Dothideomycetes; Dothideales; Saccotheciaceae.
UAAAAGUCGUAACAAGGUCUCCGUUGGUGAACCAGCGGAGGGAUCAUUAUUAGAAGCCGAAAGGCUACUUAAAACCAUCGCGAACUCGUCCAAGUUGCUUCGGCGGCGCGGCCUCCCUCACGGGGGCGCCGCAGCCCCGCCUCUCCGGAGGUGUGGGGCGCCCGCCGGAGGUACGAAACUCUGUAUUAUAGUGGCAUCUCUGAGUAAAAAACAAAUAAGUUAAAACUUUCAACAACGGAUCUCUUGGUUCUGGCAUCGAUGAAGAACGCAGCGAAAUGCGAUAAGUAAUGUGAAUUGCAGAAUUCAGUGAAUCAUCGAAUCUUUGAACGCACAUUGCGCCCGCUAGUACUCUAGCGGGCAUGCCUGUUCGAGCGUCAUUUCAACCCUCAAGCCCUGCUUGGUGUUGGGGCCCUACGGCUGCCGUAGGCCCUGAAAGGAAGUGGCGGGCUCGCUACAACUCCGAGCGUAGUAGUUCAUUAUCUCGCUAGGGACGUUGCGGCGCGCUCCUGCCGUUAAAGACCAUCUUUAACUCAAGGUUGACCUCGGAUCAGGUAGGAAUACCCGCUGAACUUAA